UGGGAUCAAAACUUGUUGCUGGCAAACCGGUUGCACACAGUUUAGUCAUCUGAUAGAUAGUCUAUACUUUUUUUAGUAAGUAAAAGGCCUUUUAGUGUAUCUCUACAACCAUACACCUUCAGGUCGUGAAAUGUCAACUUAGAUUUGCUUGAUUAUCCGCACAUCAUUUGUUAGAAAAAUCAAGUUAAACUGUAUGUACAGUAGAAAAUAAAACACCUGUGAGGCUUCAUGUUCAUGUUAUGCCAUCCCCCCCC
Carassius carassius (crucian carp) is the source of this 254-nucleotide long non-coding RNA. RefSeq lists it as uncharacterized. The record is from RefSeq and is a predicted model, not a curated record. The transcript is spliced from 2 exons. Lineage: Eukaryota; Metazoa; Chordata; Actinopteri; Cypriniformes; Cyprinidae.